RNAcentral lists this ribosomal RNA (230 nucleotides) under uncultured bacterium. Its description in RNAcentral is "partial 16S ribosomal RNA". It matches the Rfam family "Bacterial small subunit ribosomal RNA", at positions 561 to 790 of the family's 1533-position model. The record is from RNAcentral.
UAAAGCGUGCGCAGGCGGUUUUGUAAGUUUGUCGUGAAAGCCCCGGGCUCAACCUGGGAAUUGCGAUGAAGACUGCAAGGCUUGAAUCUGGCAGAGGGGAGUAGAAUUCCACGUGUAGCAGUGAAAUGCGUAGAGAUGUGGAGGAACACCGAUGGCGAAGGCAGCCCCCUGGGUCAAGAUUGACGCUCAUGCACGAAAGCGUGGGGAGCAAACAGGAUUAGAUACCCAGU